This is a long non-coding RNA of Gadus macrocephalus (Pacific cod), 4833 nucleotides long. RefSeq lists it as uncharacterized. The record is from RefSeq and is a predicted model, not a curated record. The transcript is spliced from 3 exons. NCBI's taxonomy places the organism in Eukaryota, Metazoa, Chordata, Actinopteri, Gadiformes, Gadidae.
CUGAUGUUAAGAGCAUGUACAGAAUAGAAUAAUGUUGGCCUAUAAACACACACACGUUCUGUUGUAUUUGUAUCUUAAGCAUCGGAUCAAUCGGAAUGAUUGAAUAUCAUUAAGAGUCAGCCCUCAGUGACCUUUUGGGAUCGUGUUACAAUCACCGUGACGACGAGAAGGUCAGUCUAUCUCUAUUCCCACACCCCCGCCCCCCAACUCAAAACAAGACGGGUCACGGCAACAAAGGGUUUGGCGGUGUGGUUAAGAGGUCAGAGGUCGCGACCUUACCACUUUCAUACUGUGGUGAAGAAACUGCAGGCUUUACGCGGCACACUAGCUGCUAAUUAACAGCAAGUUUGUAUAAAGUUCCAGCACUUCUGCCGUCCUUCAGAAGCUAGGCUGUUUCAUGUCCUUGUGGUGUGCUUCUGUUUCAUCCUCUUAAGUAUUUAUGCAAGCGCUGGUGGUUUUGAUUAUCCGUCGGCUGUUUAAUCAGGGAGGCGAUGGAUUUUUAGAGAGAUAAGAUUCUCAUCUACCAGGGGUGUAUGUUUAAGACCACAGCACAUGAACAAACUAUCAGAAAGUAAAAAAUAAAACAAUACAAGACAUAGAAGAAGCUUUAUUGGUUAGCAGUAUAGGCUGAAGAUCAUGUGAUCUGAAGUCCCAGGAAAGAAGUAACAUUCCGCCGUCUCAAUACUUAUAGUACAAUAACCAAACAACCAGUUGUUAUUGUAGUGGUUAGAAAGUACCAAAAUGGCCUUCAAAACAGCCAUCUUCUCGGAAUGUGCUAUCGUGAAAUCCUCCUAUUGAUAGAAUCACAGAUAGAACUGUGUGUGGGUGGAUGAAGGCUGGUUUGUGCUGCCUAACCUGGACUGACUGUGCGGCUGGCUGAGGCUGCACACCUGUUGCACAUUGAGCAAUCAGUGUGCAACAUGUUAAACCAGCCGUCACCACACAUCUCCUGCAUGGUAACCCGGAGCCCCAUGUAUCUCAUAGUCAUAUAUCGUUGUCUGCAACCUUACAAUGAACCGGUCUUCCAACACCACUGCUCUGCUUCCUUCUCUGGAGGAGCAGAGCUUAAGUUACCUAGGUGGAGUGUGGCAGCAUUGUUACAAACUCGAAUGCACCUGGAUACAUUUCACUCAGAGAAGUAAGACCUGAGGAAAUGUUGGUGGCCUCAUCUCAUGGUAUCCCGCCGAUGUAUUUUGAACCUCUGAUGCACGCCUCACGCUCCCUCUGUAGAGACGGAAGCUAUAAGUGACACUCUGACGUAUGGCUACCUCCUCCCCGUGCGUUCUUGUGUACAGACUGCCCACUGUGAGAGGUGCACAUGAGAGGCGUUGUGCACGGAUAUGGCAUCCUGGUGCUGCCUGGCUGUCAUCACACUGUUGCUACGCGACGUGGUCGUCAUGGUGUGACCAUCCUGUUCGCUACGUGGUUGUCGUGGUGUCAUCACACUGUUGCUACGCUACGUGGUCGUCAUGGUGUGCUCACCCUGUUCGCUACGUGGUUGUCGUGGUGUCAUCACACUGUUGCUACGCUACGUGGUCGUCAUGUUGUGACCACCCUGUUUGCUACGUGGUUGUCGUGGUGUCAUCACACUGUUGCUACGCUACGUGGUCCUCAUGGUGUGACCACCCUGUUCGCUACGUGGUUGUCGUGGUGUCAUCACACUGUUGCUACGCUACGUGGUCGUCAUGGUGUGCUCACCCUCUUCGCUACGUGGUUGUCGUGGUGUCAUCACACUGUUGCUACGCUACGUGGUCGUCAUGGUGUGACCACCCUGUUCGCUACGUGGUUGUCGUGGUGUCAUCACACUGUCGCUACGCUACGUGGUCGUCAUGGUGUGACCACCCUAUUCGCUACGUGGUUGUCGUGGUGUCGUCACACUGUCGCCAUCACGCUGUUGCUACGCGGUCCUCAUUGUGUCAGCACACUGUUGCUACUCUACAUGGUCGUAUUGUUUUGAAGCCCUGGAGUUUAUUAAAUAUGGCACGGGAUGUUGACCCUUCACCCACAGCCGGAGGUAAUGGGGAGGGAGGACCCCCGAGGUGUGUAGAUGGGGGGCCCCCCUGCCAGCCGGGUGGGUACUAGACCUGUACACUUGAGUGGAGUACAGAGUUCUUUAUUAUCCCCACAGGGGCCGUUCAUAUUGCAGCGAGCAGCAGAGGAAACCACAAACAUAAAGGCACGUGAGCAUAGAAAACCAUCAUUGAAUAACGGCAUCAGCAGUGAACAGUCGGUCUCCACAGACUCUCCAGUUCCACGGUUAGGCUGAGGUUAGCCUCAGGGAUGGAGGAGGGGAUCGAAUCGAUGACCACUGCCACAUCUAGGAAUUCCCAUAUCUACACCCUGCGGGACGAAGGGCAGACUGAAUAGAGUGUGUGUGUGUGUGUGUGUAGUCACUUUUCUGGUAGUGACUGGGUUAGUGUCAUUUCUGAACACAUCCUCACCAGUAGUGAAGGGACCGAAUCAGUUAGAUUUGGCCUGAUUUAGUCUAUAAUGUAAGUAAAAUUGGAUAUUCUCAAGUCACAGGAGCCUGACAAAAUGAAAGAGGAAAGCACAUCAAUAUUAGCAUUUCUGAAGCUUAAAUUGCACAUUUUUGUAUUUUUGACUUGAUACAUUAACAAACUAAUGAAUUAUUUAUCUAAAUUAUAUCUGUUAAUCCUAACGGCACAAGAGGGCUACAGCUUUAGAAGUGGAAAUUACGCAUGGUGAGAUUGUAGUGCUAAUAAUUAAAUGCUAUGGCUGCAAGUCCUCUGAAACUAAGAAAAUCAACUUUAAAAGUUUUGUAUCAACAUUCAUCUUCCUGUGUUGUAUUUUGUCUGUUUGAUUUGAACCUGCACUAUUAAACUUCUGCUGAUUAUUUUUGCUACCGGUAAAUAAAUAUCUGAAGCAAACAUUUCUUAAGAAAACGUGCCAAUUAGUCAAUGCAUCCAGUGAAGUUCUCUAUUAUUCAUAUUAUUCUGGUCCACUUUUGCCCUUCCCCUGCUAUUGGGUACACUUGCAUAGUGCCAGUAUAACAAAGUAAGCAAAUUGGAAGUUGGAUAUGUUUAACUUAUAUUUUGAAUACUUUUCACAGUGCAGCUUCCCACCCAAAGUGAACAUCUUCUCUUUGAAAAACAGUUAUGUUCUAUUCAAGGAAGUGAGUGAGAAAAGGCUGGUGUUUCUGUAAUCUCUUGUCUACCAUGCCAGUCGCUAUGGCGACAACCUGCCUGGAUCCGUGCUGAAAACCAAACUAAACAAAUUACAGACUUUUGUCGAUUUUAUUAUUCAAUGUAGAUUCUAAAGAUAACGGUUAAAUCAGUUAAAUAAGUAGUUAUUUUAAGUUAUUAAAAGACUAGUUCAUAAUUAUGUUACAUGACCUGAAUUUGUUUUGUGUUUUUUCACCAUAUGUGCCGUGAUCUCCUUCACAAACCUUCCAUGACCUGAACUUCCUCUAUUCAGAAGAGGCGCUGACAGAAAAAAAGCUAAAUGUACAAUAUUUCUUUUUUUCAACAAUUUGGGAGGCCUGUUCUUGUAUAUUUCAGCGGCAAUCACACAGCAGCUUCUUCAGGCCAUGUUUUUGAUUGGUUCAAAUAGGGGCACGGUGAUGUCAACAGCUGUUGCGGCCAUCACUGGCCAAUUAGAAGCAUUGUUUACUGAAAAAAAUAAAACCCUUUCUUGCCACUCUAAACCAACCAACAACUUAUUCCCUUAUUCACGCGUUGGCAGUUAAAAAACAAGUUCUGCUUCAACAUAGAGAACUGGAUGCUGUGCCUUAAUAAGUCUUUGCAUCUUCAUGCAAACACCUUCUAAAAUCAUGGUAAUUCUGCUGGCCUAUAAGAGGUCAGAACCCCCGUAGCCGUAUUAAUGAGUUGCUUAAGAAAGAGACUUUCAGAUCACUAACACUAUUAUUUGUCUGCAUGCUCCCUUGAUAUUACCUAAACAGCAUACCUCCAGUAAUUGCAACACGAUUAUUUGAACUACCAACGUUGGAACAUGUGACGAUCAUGCUUUUUAUUUUUUUUAAAUCACUCUUCCUCCGAGCUCGCGAUUUCCGUAACGACAAAUGCUAUGAAUACUAAUUAAACGGCUGCAUGUGGGUGCAUGGAUCAUUGCUCUCCGCUGAUUAAGGAACGAUAGGAGAGACUAUAUAAAUCAAAGACAACCUACCCAUCUAAUUAGCUGGCCCAGCCAUUAAAUCCACUAACAAGCAACCGAGGUGGUUCUUCCCCACAUAAUCUUCCCUGUGAUUACAUGAUGCCGAUGCGACCGUCGAACUCUCUGUUCGUCUCUGUUUUCACGGUAAAAAAAUGAAAAGCGGACCGUGAAAGUAGGGUGGGACUUAAACGACUACCCCAUCUCUGAGUAAGGGAAUGCAGUAGGUAGAUGAGUGGAGGAAUCGUUACAAUUUUGUGCUCGAACAACAGCCAUAAUUCAUACUUUUUUCUUCACUUGUUCCCAAGGGCAUACAGGGGACCUGGUCAUUUCAAUUACAGAAUUGUGUUACGCAGUUUUGACCAAUUUUAAUAUUCCUUUUAUAUCAAUUAAUUAUCCCUGACAGCAACAUUAUAUCAAGGUAUAAACCGUGAGUAUGAAGGACGGACCAUUACCUUAUGUUUUUAAUUACUUCCCCAUCAUUUAUGUGUCGCACCCCCCCCCCCCCCCCCAAUUUGCACAUCAGCUAGCUAACCCACAACGGACAAACUACGGCUCAGCUCAAAACCGUGGCAGCUAGCAGGCAAGCGGCUAGUCCAGGACUUGCCCUCCAGGCACAUCGACUCCAGGGUUAAUGGCUAACAUGCUAACAUACUGUCUCUCACAGAGGGGAAGAUGCUCAUCAGUGUGGUUGUUAUUUUUGUA